RNAcentral lists this long non-coding RNA (512 nucleotides) under Apteryx rowi (Okarito brown kiwi). RNAcentral describes it as "lncRNA (ENSARWG00000011592.1)". Lineage: Eukaryota; Metazoa; Chordata; Aves; Apterygiformes; Apterygidae. The record is from RNAcentral.
UGCCGCGCCCCAACGGCUGCCGCGCACCGCGCAUGCGUGGGGCUGCCCGCCCCCCCCCCGCUGGGGCACCAUGGGAGCGCCCGGGGCAUCAUGGGAGCAUCCAGAGCAUCAUGGGAGCGCCCGGGGCAUCAUGGGAGUGCCUGGAGCAUCAUGGGAGCAUCCAGAGCAUCAUGGGAGCGCCCGGGGCAUCAUGGGAGUGCCCAGGGCCUCAUGGGAGUGACAUGGGGCAUCAUGGGAGCACCCAGGGCAUCAUGGGAGUGAGGUGAUGCCGCGUGGAUGGAGGCCCCCCGCGGGGACCAGGCUGAGCUGAUGACCCCCGACCCCAGGGCGCCCGGACGCCUGGACCCCCCCGCGGCCACGCCCCCAGGCGGCCCCCGGACCCCCGGCCCCGGGCUCAAGCGCCGCCCCGACGCCUGUGACUGGGAGCCGGCCCCCAAGCAGGCCGUGUCGGAGGCGCUGGCGGCCGCCCGGCUCCAGGCCCUCGGCCUCCACCACGACCACGGCUACAGCGG